Molecule: ribosomal RNA, 258 nt
Filed under: uncultured bacterium
Lineage: Bacteria
Description: partial 16S ribosomal RNA
Rfam family: Bacterial small subunit ribosomal RNA
Source: RNAcentral
CCAUGCUGUAAACGGUGGGCGCUAGGUGUAGGGGGCUUCCACGUCUUCUGUGCCGUAGCUAACGCAUUAAGCGCCCCGCCUGGGGAGUACGGCCGCAAGGCUAAAACUCAAAGGAAUUGACGGGGACCCGCACAAGCAGCGGAGCAUGUGGUUUAAUUCGAUGCAACGCGAAGAACCUUACCAGGGCUUGACAUAUGGGUGAAAGACGUAGAGAUACGUCCCCUCUUCGGAGCAGCCAUACAGGUGGUGCAUGGUUGU